This 1018-nucleotide ribosomal RNA is filed under the name uncultured bacterium. RNAcentral describes it as "bacterial SSU rRNA". It matches the Rfam family "Bacterial small subunit ribosomal RNA", at positions 357 to 1376 of the family's 1533-position model. The record is from RNAcentral.
AGGAAUAUUGGUCAAUGGGCGGGAGCCUGAACCAGCCAAGUAGCGUGAAGGACGACGGCCCUACGGGUUGUAAACUUCUUUUAUAAGGGAAUAAAGUUCGCCACGUGUGGUGUUUUGUAUGUACCUUAUGAAUAAGCAUCGGCUAAUUCCGUGCCAGCAGCCGCGGUAAUACGGAAGAUGCGAGCGUUAUCCGGAUUUAUUGGGUUUAAAGGGUGCGUAGGCGGCCUUUUAAGUCAGCGGUGAAAGUCUGUGGCUCAACCAUAGAAUUGCCGUUGAAACUGGGGGGCUUGAGUAUGUUUGAGGCAGGCGGAAUGCGUGGUGUAGCGGUGAAAUGCAUAGAUAUCACGCAGAACCCCGAUUGCGAAGGCAGCCUGCCAAGCCAUUACUGACGCUGAUGCACGAAAGCGUGGGGAUCAAACAGGAUUAGAUACCCUGGUAGUCCACGCAGUAAGCGAUGAUCACUAGCUGUUUGCGAUACACUGUAAGCGGCACAGCGAAAGCGUUAAGUGAUCCACCUGGGGAGUACGCCGGCAACGGUGAAACUCAAAGGAAUUGACGGGGGCCCGCACAAGCGGAGGAACAUGUGGUUUAAUUCGAUGAUACGCGAGGAACCUUACCCGGGUUUGAACGCAUUUCGACAGCUCUGGAAACAGAGUCUCUAGCGAUAGCGAUUUGCGAGGUGCUGCAUGGUUGUCGUCAGCUCGUGCCGUGAGGUGUCGGCUUAAGUGCCAUAACGAGCGCAACCCUUGCCACUAGUUACUAACAGGUAAAGCUGAGGACUCUGGUGGGACUGCCAGCGUAAGCUGCGAGGAAGGCGGGGAUGACGUCAAAUCAGCACGGCCCUUACAUCCGGGGCGACACACGUGUUACAAUGGCGUGGACAAAGGGAGGCCACCUGGCGACAGGGAGCGAAUCCCCAAACCACGUCUCAGUUCGGAUCGGAGUCUGCAACCCGACUCCGUGAAGCUGGAUUCGCUAGUAAUCGCGCAUCAGCCAUGGCGCGGUGAAUACGUUCCCG